Long non-coding RNA from Talpa occidentalis (Iberian mole), 1003 nucleotides. RefSeq lists it as uncharacterized. The transcript has 4 exons. The record is from RefSeq and is a predicted model, not a curated record. NCBI's taxonomy places the organism in Eukaryota, Metazoa, Chordata, Mammalia, Eulipotyphla, Talpidae.
CCGGCCCCGGCCGGGUCCCGGCGCCGCGGACUCACCGGAAAGGCCCGGAUCCGCAUCUUGGUGUCCUUCCGGCUGCCCGUGCCUUUGCUCAGGAUUCACGGUUGGAUGUGAUCUUGGACAGUGAUUUACACUCCCUAUCUCAAUAGCCAACAGGCCUGAUCUUUGCCUGGGGUUAGAGAAUGAAGACAACGGCAGUCAGAUCCUCUCCUCGGAACUCAAGACUAAGGUGACCGCAGGCCAAGAGGACAAAGUGGUUGCUCACACAGAGCCCUUUGACAUGUGAUGAAGAGGCACCUUUAACCUCCCAAGCUCUCCCACGACAAACAAAAUAAAUGCACAAAAGCACAGUGAGCCCAAACUAGCCAUCUGUGCAGGGAUGAGACCGUUCACCAUGGGGCAGUAACAUUGCUAUGUAAAACAUGUGAGAAAAGAACAUGACCGUGACCUCUAAGCAUGUGUCUUACUUGAGUCAACAUGGGAAAAAGAAACCACAAGUUCCAUGGAAAUUAACCAAGACUCCCAAGAAUGAAGUAUGACCUUGGGCUCCUUUUAGACCCUCAUCACAGGAGUGAGGAAGUCACCUGAGUCUGGCACACAUUUUACAAUUAUGAUACAUCUCAGUUUGGAUGAACUGUAUCCAGGAAGUGCCCAAUGCCACUGUGACUUGCAGCCACUAUCUUGGAUGACAGAGAUAGCGCAAUCACUGGAAAGCAGCUUUGCUCUCUGGGCUUCAUUUCUCAGCUACACUUGACUAGGUAUUGCCAAAGACUUGGGAGCAGAAGGUAUGUCUGUCCUUUCCAAACCAAGGUAUAAGAAAUACAUGUGAUUUUUCAUUCUGUCUGUCCCUUUUCACCAGUUUGAUGCAAAUGCACUUGGAGCCUGUUAAUGAUCAUACAAAGGAAGGAGCUGGGCUUUGAGUCAUAACUUUGAGGAAAGGCUGCUCUCAGUCAGAAAUGUUUGUUUUGGAUAUUACCUAAGCAAGAAAUAAACGUCUUUUUGUUUA